GUCCCUGUAGAGCAAUGGAUGCCGCGUUGGACUUCUAAUCCAAAGGUCGUGGACUCGAGUUCCACCUGGGAUG
Trichonephila inaurata madagascariensis is the source of this 73-nucleotide non-coding RNA. Lineage: Eukaryota; Metazoa; Arthropoda; Arachnida; Araneae; Nephilidae. The record is from the annotation of a GenBank genome assembly.